Molecule: long non-coding RNA, 1785 nt
Organism: Girardinichthys multiradiatus
Lineage: Eukaryota; Metazoa; Chordata; Actinopteri; Cyprinodontiformes; Goodeidae
Exons: 3
Source: RefSeq, a predicted model, not a curated record
GAUCAAAUAUUUUUUUCCUCACAAACUGUCCACAAACAGACUGGGCGCUACAGCUCCUUCAUCAUCACAUUCUAGACAGAACACAGAACAUUCCUCUGGGAGGCACUACAGGAGCUUAUAAUGGCAAAACAAACUGAAACACAGCUUUAUUUCAAAAGGACACUGAAGAAUGUAGACACAAGCCACUUAUUUUAUUUAACUCAACCACUGCACUGUUAGAAUCAGAUUUCCAUGAUACCUUGUGAUUCUUCUUUCAAUGUAUCCUGGAGUUUCAAUAUAAAUUUCUGCUAAAGGCUAUGUCUGUUUUAAAUGGGGCACCCUGAAGGCUCAAGAUCACUGCUAUCAUUGCCAUAAUUGAUUAUCAGUCUCUGUGAGCAGAGAUUUCCCUGGAUUCUCUGAAUAAUUGUGUAAAAUUAUACACCUUGGAUGAUGAAACUCUUUGUAAUAUGUCAUGGGGAAAUGUUAUUUUUAGUGUUAAACUAUUUACCAACAGUUACCUUUCGAUAGACCAAACUUGAAUGACUCCCAGGUAAAUUAAAGUCUGCACGCUUUGAAAAUUAUUGCUUUCUUUUAUACAUCAUCUCAUUUGCCCUCUGACUCUUAAAAUUCUGCAAAAAAAAAAUCAGCUUCUACGUUAAAUCCUCAUUCCAUCCUUGAUGUCUCCACUUUGACCUCUGGAAAGUUUUUUGAUUUUCCUGUUUUUUUUCAUCAGCAGAGUUUGCUGCCAGUUCUGCAGCCAGGCACACUCAGCGACAAAAAUAUCUCACGGACCCCACCGCGCGCAGAUGGCCUCUCAGCUUGUCUCGUCACGACUCACCGUCUAUUACAGGAGGUUUUGUGAUGGACGGUCAGCUUCUGAAGGAGAACUUCUUCCAUUGGACUUUCCAAGAACUCCGGACCUAUCGGUUUGUCCAAAAACCUCAACAAUAUCCAUGGAUUUGGGCAUGUCGGCUUUUACAUUUUUGGGAGAACUCAUGUGAGGACACCUGUUCAUCUGAGCAUGGUGACAAUAUUUGUGCAAUCAACCGUGUGCAUAAAUGUGUGUGUCUGUGUGUGUUUGCUUGCUUGCAUAUGCGAGCACCUAGCCAUUUGUGCAUAUCCGUGUGAUGUGAUGUGCAUGAUGGGUGGUAGCGAAGCAUAUUUGCCUCCCAGCUAUAUCAUUUGCAUACUUGUCACAGCCUCUGCGUUGGGUGUCAGGUUCAGUGAUGCAUGUUGUUUUUCCACUGGCAGCUCUGGCAUUCACGGAGUCCUGCUGUUACGGUGACGUGCACAUCAAGUGUUGCUGCGUCGGCCGACAGUCAGACAUCACACACAUGCAGAGAGGUGACGCAGCUAUCAACUUGUGACGUCACUCAGAGCUGUUGAGCAGCCCAACAAUGCUCUGCUUGAUUAGACUGCAAGUGAAAAACUCAACCUCUGGUGAAAAUCUGCAAGCUUGCUGAAUUGGAAAGUCUGAAAAAAUUCCUCAGAAUGUCCAACCUGUGCCAGAUAAACAGCCUCUAUCACCUUGGAGAAACACUUUUGAGGCUGAGUCGGAUUGAUGUGCAAGAGAUUAUUCCCGCCCUGUAAGCUGUGGAAAGGGAUGUUCAGAACUGUAGGUCCAGGCACCCAGUCUGGUUCAUAGAGAGGCUGUUCUCUGGUGUUGGAACCUGCAGUACCUGAAAGGUCUUCCUCCAUUUAAAUAAAUUGCUUUUCUUCUCUUUCCAACUUUUGUUCAGACAUAAGUCUGUACAAAUAAUUGUGUUUACUUGUGUUUACCUCAGAUAAAUGUGACAUUUAUAGAAA